RNAcentral lists this unclassified non-coding RNA (21 nucleotides) under Mus musculus (house mouse). RNAcentral's name for it is "oocyte_clustered_small_RNA10632". Lineage: Eukaryota; Metazoa; Chordata; Mammalia; Rodentia; Muridae. The record is from RNAcentral.
UGGGCCACCAGGAAUCUCCGC